This 118-nucleotide non-coding RNA is filed under the name Candidatus Sungiibacteriota. RNAcentral's name for it is "Candidatus Sungbacteria SAM-I sequence". It matches the Rfam family "SAM riboswitch aptamer (S box leader)". From Rfam's summary of the family: The SAM riboswitch is found upstream of a number of genes which code for proteins involved in methionine or cysteine biosynthesis in Gram-positive bacteria. The SAM riboswitch acts at the level of transcription termination control. The record is from RNAcentral.
GUUUUAUCAAGAGAGCGGGGAGAGUUCUGGCUCUGUGAUCCGCCGACAACUUGUCCCGAGUAAAAUUGAGGGAUAAAGUGCCAAUUCCAGCCCACAAAACAAGUGGGGGAGAUAAGUU